RNAcentral lists this long non-coding RNA (1089 nucleotides) under Piliocolobus tephrosceles (Ugandan red Colobus). RNAcentral's name for it is "lncRNA (ENSPTEG00000006228.1)". Lineage: Eukaryota; Metazoa; Chordata; Mammalia; Primates; Cercopithecidae. The record is from RNAcentral.
GAACUAGCUGAACACUUAACACAUGACAUGAAUAAUUUAAAAAAAAACCAAAUGAAAAAAAUAAUUACUGAUUUUUUUUACAACAUAUUAAUUUAUUGUAUUAGUAAAAAUAUAUCUAUAGUCGAAAUAUCAACUUUUUUGUCUAUUAAAAAAUAUAUUUUUAUAAAAUUUAUAACAAAUUAUAAUGAUAUAACAAAUUUUUUUUUAGAAUUUAAAAAUAUUAUGUUAAAUCAUUCAAUAAAUAGAUCACCUUAUUGUGUAAAGGUUUUUUCAUACUCUUCUUUAAAAUUGUUAAUAAAAUAUUCAUUAAAAACUUUUUUUAAAAAUUUCUCUUUCUAUAAAUAUAUUUUUAAUCCUUAUUAUAAAAUCAAUUUUAAUUAUGAGAAACAAAAUUCACUUGUUUUUAACAUUACCGAUAGUGCUAGCUAUGAUGGUGAUAAAAUUUAUUUUGACUUAAAUACGCCUAGUGCUGUUGACCACGUGAAGCUCUUAAUUUCACUCAAUGUAGGGAGCUUAAACCAUUUAAACCCAAUUGAAAACGAAGAAACUGAUUUCAAAAAUAAAAUAAAAAGAUAUUUCGAUGAGUUUAAUAUAAAAAAUGAUCCUAAUGUUUUUAUAAUAAAUAAAUAUACAACAAAUAGAAAUCUAAGUAAACUGUUUAAAAACAUAAAAAGAAAUACAACGGAAGACAUAAACUUAAUAGAAGAAAAUCAAAAAACGGAAAAUGUAACUGAUAAUGUUUUCUUAAAAAAAAAGCAAUUGAUGAAUAAAGUUAAUAAUAUGUAUGCUGAUUUAGAGAAACGUGUUUUAUUACGCUUAAAUACAUUUUUAACUAAUGACAAUUAGGAAACUAGGAACGAAGAUAAAAAUACAUGUAAAAAAAAAAAAAAAUUUUUUUAAUUAUAAGAAUUAGGAGUAUAUCAAUCUAGAACAACAACAAAAUAUCACUUUAUUUUAUUAUGUAUAUAAAUACACAUUCAUUCUAUUUUGCUGUUAAAUUAUAUAAUCAAUUUGCAUCGCUUUAACUAUCUAUGUGGAUGAAGGUUUAUAUAAAAUAAAAUUGUCAAUGUAAUUAAUUAAAUUAUAUUU